AAGGAUUUAUUAUAAAAAGUAUGUUUAAUUGCAAAUUAAAUAGUAAAAUUCUUU
This 54-nucleotide transfer RNA is filed under the name Aphelenchus avenae. RNAcentral's name for it is "tRNA-Cys". The record is from RNAcentral. Lineage: Eukaryota; Metazoa; Nematoda; Chromadorea; Rhabditida; Aphelenchidae.